GUUCCAGGACAUUCCACAGAUGCUCAAUUGGAUAGAGAUCUGGGGAAUUUGGAGGCCAAGGCAACACCUUGAACUCUUUCUCAUAUUCCUCAAUCCAUUCCUGAACAUGUUUUGCAGUGUGGCAGGGUGCAUUAUCCUGCAGAAAAACUGCCAACAGGGAACACCACUUCCUCCACAGGGUUUACGUGGUCUGUAACAAUUUCUAGGUAGGAGGUAGGUGUCAAAGUAGCAUCCACAUGAAUGCCAGGAACCAGAAUAUUGCCCAGAGCAUAAC
Pelobates cultripes (western spadefoot toad) is the source of this 274-nucleotide non-coding RNA. The record is from the annotation of a GenBank genome assembly. Lineage: Eukaryota; Metazoa; Chordata; Amphibia; Anura; Pelobatidae.